AAGUCGUAACAAGGUUUCCGUAGGUGAACCUGCGGAAGGAUCAUUACCAACUUUAAUCCAAAUCUCCAACCCCAUGUGAACGAUGGCUGUUGUCUGUCCUUGGGGUGGCGUUUUUUGGUUGUCUUAUGACAAUACAACCAAGAAUAUUGUCCACCCCAAAUUUGUUCAACCCUUUAUUUUAAUUUUUGGCAUCUUGUCUUACUAAAUAAAUAAAAGGACAACUUUUAACGGUGGAUCUCUUGGCUCGUG
RNAcentral lists this unclassified non-coding RNA (249 nucleotides) under fungal sp. RNAcentral's name for it is "partial internal transcribed spacer region". The stretch from base 1 to 46 matches the Rfam family "Eukaryotic small subunit ribosomal RNA", at positions 1786 to 1831 of the family's 1831-position model. The record is from RNAcentral. Lineage: Eukaryota; Fungi.